RNAcentral lists this long non-coding RNA (208 nucleotides) under Elaeis guineensis (African oil palm). RNAcentral's name for it is "long non-coding RNA (EGUI_LNC077734)". The record is from RNAcentral. Lineage: Eukaryota; Viridiplantae; Streptophyta; Magnoliopsida; Arecales; Arecaceae.
ACGUGCCUCGGAUUGACGGUUUUGCGUUGAAACAAGCAUAUGUUAGCAAAGUUUCUUUCAGACGGCACAGGACCAUAGGUUAAUGCAAUUCAGUGCAAUUCUACAUAAUCUGAUUCAUCCAUGAACAAUUUAUUGAGAUAGAUAUGGGUCAACCAUGGCAAGGAUGUACUGCAAUACAUCCAACGAAAGAAGAAGAACACAGUAAGCC